RNAcentral lists this ribosomal RNA (492 nucleotides) under uncultured bacterium. RNAcentral describes it as "partial 16S ribosomal RNA". It matches the Rfam family "Bacterial small subunit ribosomal RNA", at positions 29 to 507 of the family's 1533-position model. The record is from RNAcentral.
AGUGAACGCUGGCGGUAGGCCUAACACAUGCAAGUCGAACGGCAGCACAGUAAGAGCUUGCUCUUACGGGUGGCGAGUGGCGGACGGGUGCGGAAUACAUCGGAAUCUACUUUUUCGUGGGGGAUAACGUAGGGAAACUUACGCUAAUACCGCAUACGACCUACGGGUGAAAGCAUCGGAUCUUCGGACCUUGCGCGAUUGUAUGAGCCGAUGUCGGAUUAGCUAGUUGGCGGGGUAAAGGCCCACCAAGGCGACGAUCCGUAGCUGGUCUGAGAGGAUGAUCAGCCACACUGGAACUGAGACACGGUCCAGACUCCUACGGGAGGCAGCAGUGGGGAAUAUUGGACAAUGGGCGCAAGCCUGAUCCAGCCAUACCGCGUGGGUGAAGAAGGCCUUCGGGUUGUAAAGCCCUUUUGUUGGGAAAGAAAAGCAGCAGGUUAAUACCCCGCUGUUCUGACGGUACCCAAAGAAUAAGCACCGGCUAACUUCGUG